Panicum hallii is the source of this 567-nucleotide long non-coding RNA. RefSeq lists it as uncharacterized. The record is from RefSeq and is a predicted model, not a curated record. NCBI's taxonomy places the organism in Eukaryota, Viridiplantae, Streptophyta, Magnoliopsida, Poales, Poaceae. The transcript is spliced from 4 exons.
CUACAAGCCUUUGAUCCUAAGGAGGUCAAGAGGCAGAGGAUAACUCUAGAGCUGCAUUAAUUUCUGAUGAACGUAGGAAUGAAUUGAACAAGAGACGUUGUGAGUCGUACAACACAAAGAAAGGGCAAGCAUUCACAUUUAUGCAUAUCAGUAAAAAAAGAUAUUGGACCUGGAAUAGAGAGGGGAGAUCAACAGACAAGCCACGUUGUGACUUGCUCAAGAUGUUAGAGCUGUUAGAGCGGCUGCCUGGAUGAAGGUAGUACGGUAGCUCUGGCAGAAGCCAGGGAAGGUGGAUCCGGCAUGGCGCAACUCAGAGCGGAGGAGGACAGGGCGGAAUGGAAUGGAUCCGAUGUGGUGGUGCGGUGCAAGGCGCAUGGAGAGGUUGGGCAGCACGGAGGAGGCCGCUUCUGCUGGCCCUAGGCGAGCUCGAGCCCUAGCAAUCUCUGUUCACUGAAUUUACCUCAGCUAUAUGGAGCCUCAUCCAGUGAAAACUGUUGCUAAGGGUUUGAAGAGGUACUGGAAAGAAAAUUGUGAUCUCAUCUUUGAGGGUACAAGUGGAAGUCACAG